CCAAAUUCUAUCUGAAGGAUCUGAAGACGUCCAGGGGCCUUCAUGAGGAAAUGAUGAAAGCAGCCAGCAGCAAUGCCAAGCAGGUCAUCGACUGGGUUACGGAGCGGGCCUCUAAGUGACGAGGGAACGAUCACUAGUGGUUUUAGACUGGUUUUAUCGUCACGGCAAACUGCAACCAUCAGUGGAAUGUAGUUUCACCACAGGAAACAUGAGUACAGUCUGUCAGGGUGUGAACGUGUGAUUAGCAUGUUUGUUUGUGUCUUAAGAACCUCAGUGACUGUCAGUUGCCAGGCAGCCAUUCAUUGUAAUUACAUUGUUUGUUUAUGUCUUAAGAACCUCAGUGACUGUCAGUUGCCAGGCAGCCAUUCAUUGUAAUUACAUUGUUUGUUUGUGUCUUAAGAACCUCAGUGACUGUCAGUUGCCAGGCAGCCAUUCAUUGUAAUUACAUUGUUUGUUUAUGUCUUAAGAACCUCAGUGACUG
This is a long non-coding RNA of Oncorhynchus nerka (sockeye salmon), 481 nucleotides long. RefSeq lists it as uncharacterized. NCBI's taxonomy places the organism in Eukaryota, Metazoa, Chordata, Actinopteri, Salmoniformes, Salmonidae. The record is from RefSeq and is a predicted model, not a curated record. The transcript is spliced from 3 exons.